GCCUCGCGCCGCCCCUUCCGCCUCAGCGAUGGCGGAGGCCGAGGAGGAGCUGGCGCACGCCGAGGUGCUGGAGCUCUUCCAGGCGGCGCUGGCGCGGCUGGUGCAGGACCCGCUGCUCUGCGACCUCCCCCCGCAGGUGACGCCGGAGGAGAUCGGCUCGCAGGUGGCGCUGGAGUACGGGCAGGCCAUGACCGUGCGGGUCUGCAAGGCGGACGGCGAGACCAUGCCCGUGGUGGUGGUGCAGAACGCGACCGUGCUGGAGCUGAAGAAGGCGCUGCGGAGACACGUCCAGCUGCGGCAGGCGCGGCAGGGCGGCGCCCAGCACCUCAGCUGGAAGUACAUAUGGAGGACGUACCACCUCACCUACGCCGGAGAGAAACUGGCGGAUGACAGAAAGAAGCUGAGAGAGUAUGGCAUCAGAAACCGGGAUGAGGUCAGCUUCAUUAAGAAACUUCGAAAGUAACCUGUCAGGGCAGGGAAUGAUGAUUCAGCUACUUUGGUUAACAAACCACAUCAGGACCAGCAGAAGCAAUACCUAAGUGCUAGCAAUGGUGCAUCUCUAACCCCUACAUUACAUACUUGAUCAAUCUCUGGAAAUCACUGUCACAGAUGUGGCAGGUUGUUAACUAAUGCCUAGGAAGAGGUCUCUGUGUUACAGGUGACUGCCACCAUCCAGUUCAUUUGAUCCUCCUGUGAGUCUCAUUACACCCAAGUGACUCUUCUUCCACCUGCUCCUAAUGCUCCUAGAAUCCAGCUCUACCACGACCAGGCACUAGAUCCAGCACUCUCCUAGAGGAAAAGAUUGUACCAUUUCCCAGAGAAGCAAACUCCAGCUGAAUAUAAAUUCCUACAUGUUUUUGCAGUCACUGUUCAAAAUGUUUUCCUCUGAGUUGUAUGCACUGUGAUUAAAGAGACUCUAGUUUUCUAAAGC
This is an RNA transcript of Anas platyrhynchos (mallard), 931 nucleotides long. It is a transcript of the gene named small nuclear ribonucleoprotein U11/U12 subunit 25, with no coding region annotated. The record is from RefSeq and is a predicted model, not a curated record. NCBI's taxonomy places the organism in Eukaryota, Metazoa, Chordata, Aves, Anseriformes, Anatidae.